AACAUCCAAGAAGAUUUAGAAUUGGUCUCAAUGUCAAUGUUGAAGUGUCAAAUAUAUCAACACCCAAACAACAAAAUUUGUCUUAAAUGUCAAUAUCAAUGUCCAAGUUCAAUUGAUAUUGGCCCCAAUAUCAAUGUUGAGGUCUGAAUAUGAACAUCCAAACGAAGCAUUACGGUUUCACACAAUACAUAAAUAUCUCGGGAGCAAUAUUUUUUCAAUGGUGAUAAAUUUUAUUCAAUCGGGCAGAAUUGGAUCUAGGAAAAAGCAGUGACCUAUAAACUACAAUAUCGGAAUGCAUAUCUCAAGGACGACUAUUCUUAUCAAUAGAUGCAUUGAGUUUCUUGGGAGCGCAACAACAUCGGUGGUGAAACUCGCCUAUCAUUUGGCAAGAGGCAAGUAAACCGUUGCAGUCACGCCUGCACAAGUCCAGAUCGCAACUCAGGAAAGGCAUGAAACAUCCUCCUUCUACAUGUUCACAAACAAAAAAUACAUCGUUUGAAGAAUACCCAGACAACAUGGCAAGUCACGUUUCAGCAAGGACCAGAUGCCAUAAGAUCCAUACAACUCAACAUUGUGAAAUACACAGAAAAUUAGCAUCACGUGGCAAAACCACAGAGAUGCACGUACCUGGACCAAACGCAUAACAAGACGAAAUGACAGUAGCGAUGAGCACAAGAGCCAACAAGCACUGGGCACUUGUGUUCUUCUUGAAUAUUGCCAUGACGGCUUUUUUUUCCUUCUCUAUGUUAUGUCGUUCUUCUGAAUUUUUGCGGGUUGCAAAGCUCUCUUUU
RNAcentral lists this long non-coding RNA (791 nucleotides) under Triticum aestivum (bread wheat). RNAcentral's name for it is "long non-coding RNA (TAES_LNC002628)". Lineage: Eukaryota; Viridiplantae; Streptophyta; Magnoliopsida; Poales; Poaceae. The record is from RNAcentral.